UUCCGGUUGAUCCCGCCGGACCUGACUGCUAUCGGAUUGAUACUAAGCCAUGCGAGUCAUUGUAGCAAUACAAGGCAUACGGCUCAGUAACGCGUAGUCAACCUAACCUAUGGACGGGAAUAACCUCGGGAAACUGAGAAUAAUGCCCGAUAGAACAUUAUGCCUGGAAUGGCUUAUGUUCCAAAUGAUUUAUCGCCGUAGGAUGGGACUGCGGCCUAUCAGUUUGUUGGUGAGGUAAUGGCCCACCAAGACUAUUACAGGUACGGGCUCUGAGAGGAGUAGCCCGGAGAUGGGUACUGAGACACGGACCCAGGCCCUAUGGGGCGCAGCAGGCGAGAAAACUUUGCAAUGUGCGAAAGCACGACAAGGUUAAUCCGAGUGAUUUGUGCUAAACGAAUCUUUUGUUAGUCCUAGAAACACUAACGAAUAAGGGGUGGGCAAGUUCUGGUGUCAGCCGCCGCGGUAAAACCAGCACCUCAAGUGGUCAGGAUGAUUAUUGGGCCUAAAGCAUCCGUAGCCGGCUCUGUAAGUUUUCGGUUAAAUCUGUACGCUUAACGUACAGGCUGCCGGGAAUACUGCAAAGCUAGGGAGUGGGAGAGGUAGACGGUACUCGGUAGGAAGUGGUAAAAUGCUUUGAUCUAUCGAUGACCACCUGUGGCGAAGGCGGUCUACCAGAACACGUCCGACGGUGAGGGAUGAAAGCUGGGGGAGCAAACCGGAUUAGAUACCCGGGUAGUCCCAGCUGUAAACUAUGCAAACUCAGUGAUGCAUUGGCUUGUGGCCAAUGCAGUGCUGCAGGGAAGCCGUUAAGUUUGCCGCCUGGGAAGUACGUACGCAAGUAUGAAACUUAAAGGAAUUGGCGGGGGAGCACCACAAGGGGUGAAGCCUGCGGUUCAAUUGGAGUCAACGCCGGG
Molecule: ribosomal RNA, 914 nt
Filed under: uncultured marine archaeon
Lineage: Archaea
Description: bacterial SSU rRNA
Rfam family: Archaeal small subunit ribosomal RNA
Source: RNAcentral